Non-coding RNA from Lolium perenne, 2415 nucleotides. The record is from RefSeq and is a predicted model, not a curated record. NCBI's taxonomy places the organism in Eukaryota, Viridiplantae, Streptophyta, Magnoliopsida, Poales, Poaceae.
UCGGUCUAUCUUCCAACGCGUGGAUUCACUCGAGUCUUCUCCUAUCUUCUUUCUCUUUCUUUCUCCUUCACAGAUUAUUUCAGGAAAAAAGAUCCCAGCGAUCUCUCUCCCCACCGACUUGCCCCAUGGAUGAGCUCCUCCCCGCCCUAGAGACCUCCCCUUGCUCCGGUCCUUUCGGCCGUCGAUGAAUUCGAGGCUGCCUUCGAGCGGUUCGACGAGGACUCAGACGAGGAGCUCGAGCGCGCGGCGCAUGCGGGCAGGCGGCCCCAAGGCGCCACCGAAAUCGGCACAAUACAGGGAUGUGCGACCCCGACCGUGCGGCAAGUGGGCGGCCGAGAUCCGUGGUACCCUGUCAAGGGAGUUCGGGUCUGGCUCAACACAUUCCCCUCCGCUGAGGCCGGCGCACAUCAUGAUCACCACUUCCCCUCCAUUUGACCUUCAGUGUAUUGGCGUGGCGGCGUGGCGGCGUCCGACAGGCUGGGUCGGCGGCGAGAUAAUCUGUGGCGGGAGCGCGGCGACACGCCUAAUUCGACUCGACUGCUGCAUCUUGCAUCGUCGCGCUGCGCCUUCUCCAUUUUCAGGUGUGUCUUCAUCAGGUAAGUGUUGUCUGCUAGGUUGUCCAUUUCAUCAGUAUUUUUCUUUUUUUGGUUCUAAUGUUGUUUGUCGUGCUGAUUCGUUCAUGUUGUUUUGUCUCCUAUGUCUUCUGUCACCAUGGAUCAGCAGCGGUGUCGCCACAAGAUUUGUGAGGGGAAUCUGCCUGUUCUAGCCUCUGGAAGUUUGUUGUCUGCAUUCUAACUCCUGUGUUCAUUUCAAUGUUUUAUUUUUGGUAUUUUACAAAUCACUCAGCUGAUGUAUAACCAGUUAACCACUCAGGUGAAGCACCCAGUCAUAUAACCAAAAAAAGUCACGCGUCAUAUCAGAGCCGAGGAGUUGGACUACCGCGACGACACCUUUAUAUUUUAUUGUGUGGCCUCCGGCAAUAUCCCAAAGAUGGAGGCAGCGAUGUGCCGGCUCAGGAAGUCCGGUCUUCUCAUCUCUGUCGACCAAGUUGCAGCCAAGCUGUCCUAAAGCAAGGAAUGCUGCUAAGCUGAUUGCUUCUUUAAUUUCUCAUCAUAUGUGGUUUUGGCUUGCAGAAUAAGUGACCCCUGGUGUUAUUAUACUCAUCACCCCUCCACCGAUCCAUGAACCUGUGAGAAUCAUGUCCCAAAUAACCACCCUUACCUUGCAGAUAUCUGCUUUACUUAGUUUUACUAUUCAUGAGAUAUAUAUAAAAAAACAGUCCCUUUCUUCAAAUGAGCAUGAAUAGCUGAAGCAAUAUGUCUCCUGAAGGUGGUUCUGAAAGUGCAGAAGUCAAUGCUCAUCAUCGUCUUUUUCAAUUUAUGCUAACACCAGUUAAUCUCAUCAUAUUCCUAUUGCAAUUAUCAGCGUACUUUUUAUUGGAUGUUGUCUGGAAUCAUUUCAUAUUGAUUAUGUCACAUGUCCCUUAGUGAUUGUGCUUUUGAUUCUGUGAUUAGGGGAGAGAGGAGGACAAAAGAAUGACAACCUUUGAGGAGGAGGUGAUGUGUACGAUGUGCAGCAGAAAAACGAAGAUUCAUGUCAGAGUCAGAGCCUGAGAGGUGCCUCCUGAGUUUAUCAUUCUCUCUAUCUUAUGUUGCUCCUCCCCGGCUCCUCAAGCUAUCAAUGCUGUAUCGUGAUAUCCCUGCUCUAUUCUUCGGGGGGAUUCAAUCGCAUGACCAUCUGGAUCGCAUUUGAUCCGUAAAAUCUCAUGAAAGAAGAAUAGACUGCCUUUUUGACGACAUGGUGAGCCCCAGUGCUCCCUCCUCCGCCAUGACUCUACUCUUGCCUCUCUGCCAAAGAGCUGUGGAAUUUCUUCGUCGUCCUUGACGGCACAACUCUCCUCCUCAACAUCAUGGUAUUGGCUCUUCUCUGCCAUGGUACUCCGUUGGUACUGAACAACACGAGACAGUGGCUCCAAAAUAAUCGCUUGCGCCCGCGCUCAAGUCCCACUCCGCUUGAAAAGGCGUUUGCAUGUAACUACCAAGUAUUGCUCUGCUUUGGUAUUUGAUUGAUCAGUGUCCCUGGAUUUGCCGUUUAUGGUGGAUGUGAAAGGGCAAUUUACUCGAUGACUUGAUGGAGCCAAGUCACUGGAUCUAUACUCUAACUGCGGCAAUAAUUCUAAAUAUCAAUAGUGGCAAUGCUUCUUUUCUUUUCCCCUUAAUUCAUGUAUAUAUAAAGUCAAUGGUUCAAUCUUUUGGGGUUUCUAUCUUCUUGCACCUAAUAGAGUCACCUGUCAAAAGAGAAGAGAAUACGGCUGUACAUUUAUAUUGCACUUUCGUUGUUGAUAUUGUGAUACACUGAACUGUGCGAACUUUGAGUUUUCAGAUAUCAGAGGAGAGGUUGAUUUUCCUGUGGCAA